AAACAAGGUAGGCUAAUACCGGAUAGAAAGACGGAUCGCAUGAUCAGCUUUUAAAAGGACGGCGUAAGCUGUCGCUAUGGGAUGGCCCCGCCGGUGCAUUAGCUAGUUGGUAAGGUAAAGGCUUACCAAGGCGAUGAUGCAUAGCCGAGUUGAGAGACUGAUCGGCCACAUUGGGACUGAGACACGGCCCAAACUCCUACGGGAGGCAGCAGCC
This 214-nucleotide ribosomal RNA is filed under the name uncultured Lactobacillus sp. Its description in RNAcentral is "partial 16S ribosomal RNA". It matches the Rfam family "Bacterial small subunit ribosomal RNA", at positions 153 to 355 of the family's 1533-position model. The record is from RNAcentral. Lineage: Bacteria; Bacillati; Bacillota; Bacilli; Lactobacillales; Lactobacillaceae.